GGACUAGGAAUGUAACUCAGUGGUAGAGUCCUUGCCAGACAUGCAUAAGGUCCUAGAGUUCAAUCCUCAGCAAUAAAAAGAAAGUAAGUUUAAUA
RNAcentral lists this microRNA precursor (95 nucleotides) under Mus pahari (shrew mouse). RNAcentral's name for it is "miRNA (MGP_PahariEiJ_G0006752.1)". The record is from RNAcentral. Lineage: Eukaryota; Metazoa; Chordata; Mammalia; Rodentia; Muridae.